GCCUAGUUGGCUUAGUCAGUGGAGCAUGUGACUCCUGAUCUCAAGGCCGUGAGUUCAAGCCUCACAUUGAGCA
Non-coding RNA from Zalophus californianus (California sea lion), 73 nucleotides. The record is from the annotation of a RefSeq genome assembly. Lineage: Eukaryota; Metazoa; Chordata; Mammalia; Carnivora; Otariidae.